Temnothorax curvispinosus is the source of this 883-nucleotide long non-coding RNA. RefSeq lists it as uncharacterized. The transcript is spliced from 3 exons. Lineage: Eukaryota; Metazoa; Arthropoda; Insecta; Hymenoptera; Formicidae. The record is from RefSeq and is a predicted model, not a curated record.
AUCUCUCAGCCAAAAAUCCAAUGCAACGCCACGGCGUGUUGGCCCUUGAUAAAAUAAAUCUUCGCAAAUCGAUAACGGUUUGCUCAAAAGAUCUGACUUACUCGGGGCCUCACCGAUUUCGGAGAUGACAGAUCAAAAUCGCAAGAUAUCAACGAAUAGGCAUAUCACGGUUUGACAAUCAUGUUCCAACCGUUAGCUGAUAAUUAUUCCCAACCAAUUGCCGUGUUUGCCGCGAAAAACUAAGUGAACGGUGAGGAGCUUGCGAAAAUCGUGAUCAAAGCGAUAACAUAUAUAGAAAAUUACGGAGCCAAAAUUCAUGGCAUUAUUUCGGAUGGAGCCUUGACUAAUAAAAAAAUAUGCAGUCGCUCCUGGGUGUUCAAAGUACACGUUGGAUUACACGAAAACGUGGUUCACUCAUCCAAACGACGACGAUCGACAAGUUUUUGUGUUUUUGGAUGUGCCACACGUGAUUAAGUGUAUUCGGAAUCGACUGUACGGGAAGGGCCGUUUGAAAUUGAGUGGCGAAAGUAAUUAUAUUGCCUGGAAGUACUUCGUACAGUUGUUUAACUUGGACAGCCAGCAGUUAGGGCAUGCUCGAGCCUGUCCCAAACUCUCAAUGCGACAUAUACAACUCGAUAACACAGCGAAGAUGCGAGUCCGCCUUGCCACACAAAUUUUCAGCAAUUCCAUGACUAAUGGCUUCCAAUUUUACUCGCGCUAUUACCCUGAGGCACUCCGAGGCUAUGAAGAAACGGGUAAGUUCUGUAAAAAAAUAAACGACAUGUUCGACGCUUUCAAUCGAAAGAUUCCUAAUCAAGGUCUCGUCCCGGACAACGAUGACUUCAAGGUUUAUAACUGAAUUCAGUACUUAUAUGUUAUUCCA